UGCAAAUUCUUUGCCAGUCUGGCCACUGAUAGGCGGAGUCCUCGUCACUUCCCCAUGAGCCUGGGCUGGGCGUGUGGUUUGUUCUGACCAGUAGAAUCUGGGCCUUAGAAGAUCUGCAGUUCUUCUGCAUUUGCAAAUGGGGAACACCACCUCUUGGAACCCAGCGGCCAAGCUAGGAGAUGCCAGAGCCAGAAACUACCUAAAGGCCUUCCUGCUUCUAUUCUGGGGAGAAAGGGAAACACAGCACGAAGCCAAGAGGAGAAAGAGCUGCCCUUCCUCACCACUACCCACCACACUGCAUGGAAACAACGGAACUGCCCACCUCUCACUAGUGGUUUGCGAGCUCCUGGGAGAGAGACCCCACCUGCCUGGGGUCAUUUCUAUAUGCAUCCUAAUACUGGGGACAGGAACCACUCAACAACUACAGUUGGAAACUGUACCAAACACACCUACUGCAUCUCCCCUGGGCAAGUAUCCCCCACAACUACUGUUUAAUCAGCCUGUGGCUGCAGGUUCUCGAAACGUUCACCUGGCUCCAAGACUUUGAGGAGUCUUAGCAUCUCCAAGAUUCCAUCUUUCACUAAGCCCGGUGGUUUUUCACGAUUAGCAAAUGUUUACCAUUUGGAGAGGGCCCAAGGGCCUAAGAGAUUUCGCAGCAAAAUUCUUGAGCAAUAAAUUAGCCACAGGCCACGACUUGAAUUGUGUUAUGGGGUGUGUGUGUGUGGGA
This is a long non-coding RNA of Canis lupus familiaris (dog), 727 nucleotides long. RefSeq lists it as uncharacterized. The transcript has 3 exons. The record is from RefSeq and is a predicted model, not a curated record. Lineage: Eukaryota; Metazoa; Chordata; Mammalia; Carnivora; Canidae.